UCCCUGGUGUUUUAGAUGGUAAAGAAUCCACCUGAAAUGUGGGAGAUCUGGGUUUGAUCCCUGGGUUGGGAA
This 72-nucleotide transfer RNA is filed under the name Ovis aries (sheep). It matches the Rfam family "tRNA". Rfam says of the family: Transfer RNA (tRNA) molecules are approximately 80 nucleotides in length. Their secondary structure includes four short double-helical elements and three loops (D, anti-codon, and T loops). The record is from Rfam by way of RNAcentral. Lineage: Eukaryota; Metazoa; Chordata; Mammalia; Artiodactyla; Bovidae.